GACGAACGCUGGCGGCAUGCUUAACACAUGCAAGUCGAACGGAAAGGCCUCUUUCGGGGGGUGCGCGCGUGUCGCACACGUGAGUAACACAUGAGUAUCAUCCCCUCUACUUUGUGGUAAAUCCACAGGAAUGUGGCGCAUACCCCGUAGAGGCUCCUCCGCCGUGGGGGGGGGUGGAGAAUGUCUUGGCGGUUGGGGAUGGUCUCGCGGCUUAUCCGUUUGUUGGUGGGGUCGUGGUUUAACAAGGUUUUGACGGGUAGCCGGCCAGAGAGGGUGACCGGCCACAUUGGGACUGAGAUACGGCCCAGACUCCUACGGGAGGCAGCAGUGGGGAAUAUUGCACAAUGGGUGGAAGCCUGAUGCAGCAACGCCGUGUGCGGGAUGACGGCCUUCGGGUUGUAAACCGCUUUCGCUCAUGACGAAGCUUUGUGUGACGGGAGUGGGUAAAGAAGCACCGGCUAACUACGU
Molecule: ribosomal RNA, 468 nt
Filed under: uncultured bacterium
Lineage: Bacteria
Description: partial 16S ribosomal RNA
Rfam family: Bacterial small subunit ribosomal RNA
Source: RNAcentral